Molecule: transfer RNA, 88 nt
Filed under: Chloroflexota bacterium
Lineage: Bacteria; Bacillati; Chloroflexota
Description: tRNA-Ser
Rfam family: tRNA
About the family: Transfer RNA (tRNA) molecules are approximately 80 nucleotides in length. Their secondary structure includes four short double-helical elements and three loops (D, anti-codon, and T loops). Further hydrogen bonds mediate the characteristic L-shaped molecular structure. tRNAs have two regions of fundamental functional importance: the anti-codon, which is responsible for specific mRNA codon recognition, and the 3' end, to which the tRNAs corresponding amino acid is attached (by aminoacyl-tRNA synthetases). tRNAs cope with the degeneracy of the genetic code in two manners: having more than one tRNA (with a specific anti-codon) for a particular amino acid; and 'wobble' base-pairing, i.e. permitting non-standard base-pairing at the 3rd anti-codon position.
Source: RNAcentral
GGGGAGGUGCCGGAGUGGUCGAACGGGCUCGCCUGCUAAGCGAGUGUACCCAUAACGGGUACCGAGGGUUCGAAUCCCUCCCUCCCCG